UUAAUACUAUCUAUUAUAACUUAACAUUAACAUUAUCUAUCAUUACUUAACAUAUUUUAUUGUUACUAAACAUUAUAUAUCUCUUUAGAGUUCAAUUCAAAUUAACUUCUACGGGUGCAUGUAUUAUCUUUUUGAACUGGCCAAUCAGGGUUGUUUUGUUUUUUUCCUUCUUCUUCAGAAUUUCAGCAGGGGUUUUAAUUUUUUUUUUCCAGAUUAUCUUCUACUAAAUUUGUAUUUUGAUUAAAUAAAGUAAAUUUGAAAAUUUUCAACUUCAAAAUAUUGUUGUACAUAUCCUCCACUUUUUAUCUACACCAGAUUUCUCUGGUGUAGCAUUCCUCCUUAAGCAUAGACUGACACUCAACAACUGCACUACAUUUUUCCUAUUUAUUUUACAAAGAUAUUCCCCCCCCCCCCUCCACAUCUCUAUAUUCAAUAAAAUGUGAACGAAAAAUAUUCCAUUUGGUUGUAUGUUGUAAAAGAAAACGGAAAAAUUUAGAUCCGGUGAUCGGGUGCCUGUUCAUGUAACAUUUGAUUUCUACAACUAAACCGGGAAUUUCAGAGUUGAUGCGAUGGGCUGUUUGUUUGGUCACUCAAUGAAAACACACGUCUCUACUCACUUUCGAUCAUUACGCAUACAUGUAAUUGUAAAGAAAGGGUGACAUCUGUCACGAGGUGGGGUAACAAUUGUGGAAAUAUAUAUUUACAUCGGACACAAUCUAAGAUGAUCGAUCAGGUACCGUUUAGGAAGUUCUAUUUGUUUUAGUGUCUACAGAGUUUGUUCAAUUACAGUUUUGUUCUCAAUCUAUAUAGAUAUUGAGAACAAAAUGGAUAAGAUGCCCCAAUGGUUCAAUGUUUUAAAUCUUUAAUCACUUUCGACUAGGCCUUGCAGCCGACCAGGUAUCGUUUUCUAGGCUCGAGUAUAGACAGUUUCGAUAUUUUGAAUGAUGAUAUCUAUUCAUGUAAUAGAACAAUGGUUGACAUUUUAUCUGUCAAUACGAUGCUUUAGAUUUAAAUUUAGAUCAAAUAUGUCAUUGUGAAUAGAAUAUAGUUAAACUCAAAUUUAAAUUCAUGAUUUUUUUAUCUCCUGGUACAAGAAUAUGAUGUGAGCAGCAUACGUUAGCUGAACAUACGGCAGAUUCAUUCAUUUUAGCCUUGACUUGGAGAAAUGGCAAUGAAAUGUUCAAGACCUCAAAUUUGUGCAAAAUUGGAAGUAUGAAGAAAUCACAAGUUAGGGGCGAGAAGGGUUGUGUAUGGACUGCAUUCUAUGUGUGGCGUUACCCAGGGCCCUUAUGGCAACCUUCAGAAAUAUAUGUGUAUAUUCUUUAUAUAUAUUUUUUGCCUAUUGAUACAUAAUAUAUUUGUUGUCCAUUAAUACAACUUAUAUUUUAGAUGAAUAUAAUUACAUAUAUAAGGUUUCAUACUCAUCGCAUACAGUUAUGCAUUUUUGUUCAGAAUCUGACAUGAAUUUUUUUUUUAAAGACAGACAAUAUGUUGAGUAUAUACAUGUACAUCAAAUGUAUAUUCUUUCACAUUGUUGUUAUAUGCUAAUAAAUAAUUUACUUUCCAAAAAAAAAAAAAAAAAAAAGAGGUUAGGGGCGAGAUCAAAUGUUCAACUGCCAAAAAAAAAACCAAACCCCAACAACUAAUUAAAUUCACAUAGUG
Long non-coding RNA from Ostrea edulis (European flat oyster), 1662 nucleotides. RefSeq lists it as uncharacterized. The transcript has 2 exons. The record is from RefSeq and is a predicted model, not a curated record. NCBI's taxonomy places the organism in Eukaryota, Metazoa, Mollusca, Bivalvia, Ostreida, Ostreidae.